CUGAAAUGAAUCUUCGAUACCAUGACGCAGUUUG
RNAcentral lists this small RNA (34 nucleotides) under Bombyx mori (domestic silkworm). RNAcentral describes it as "ovarian small RNA-14825". Lineage: Eukaryota; Metazoa; Arthropoda; Insecta; Lepidoptera; Bombycidae. The record is from RNAcentral.